This 301-nucleotide ribosomal RNA is filed under the name uncultured bacterium. Its description in RNAcentral is "partial 16S ribosomal RNA". It matches the Rfam family "Bacterial small subunit ribosomal RNA", at positions 509 to 808 of the family's 1533-position model. The record is from RNAcentral.
CAGUAGCCACGGUAAUACGGAGGGUGCAAGCGUUAAUCGGAAUUACUGGGCGUAAAGCGCACGCAGGCGGUCUGACAAGUCAGAUGUGAAAUCCCCGGGCUUAACCUGGGAACUGCAUUUGAAACUGUCAGGCUGGAGUCUUGUAGAGGGGGGUAGAAUUCCAGGUGUAGCGGUGAAAUGCGUAGAGAUCUGGAGGAAUACCGGUGGCGAAGGCGGCCCCCUGGACAAAGACUGACGCUCAGGUGCGAAAGCGUGGGGAGCAAACAGGAUUAGAUACCCCGGUAGUCCCUGUCUCUAUACC